Etheostoma cragini (Arkansas darter) is the source of this 279-nucleotide long non-coding RNA. RefSeq lists it as uncharacterized. NCBI's taxonomy places the organism in Eukaryota, Metazoa, Chordata, Actinopteri, Perciformes, Percidae. The transcript has 3 exons. The record is from RefSeq and is a predicted model, not a curated record.
CUCAUUUAAAUGAGGAGGUGUGGAAAGCAGCGAGCGCCCGAUGGCUGGGAUGUUGAUGGCUGUCAUUAGUCUGUAGCAGGAUGCCGGCGGGGGGGUGUGUUAGUGCUCAGAAAACCUGGCAGGUCAUCCUGAGGCCCCCCCCCCCUUUUAGAUUUGGCACUUCGGAAAACUUUGAACCUCAACCGCUGUGGCUGACCCUGAUCCAAGAGCCUCGGUCCAGCUCCCCUAAUCACGCCACUGGUUUACUCUAGUUUGUGUGUGUGUGGGUGUGUGUGUGUG